Long non-coding RNA from Helianthus annuus (common sunflower), 443 nucleotides. RefSeq lists it as uncharacterized. The record is from RefSeq and is a predicted model, not a curated record. Lineage: Eukaryota; Viridiplantae; Streptophyta; Magnoliopsida; Asterales; Asteraceae. The transcript is spliced from 3 exons.
GGUUUGGUGUUAUUCACCGAUUUCACAUCACAAAUGGAUCUGGCUAAUCAUUUACAAGCAGAAUAUAGCAUGUUGAUUGUUCUUGGCGUUUCAAGGGCUCAAUUGAGAAAGGCUUGUAGCUCUCAAACGUCUCAAUGAGCUUGUAGCUCUCAAACGUCUCAAUGAAUCCUGCUAUUUUUGUUGAGUCAGAAUUCAUGUUGAAGCUGAUGUUACCCAAAGACCAAAGACUACUGGAGAUUCUAAAGACUAAUUUCAGCUUUGCAAGAUAUUGUCAAGGGGGAGUUUGUUGGUGCAUGUUAUGUGACAACAGCUUAUGAUUUGGUCUUUGGAUAUCUUAAACAAGACUUGGAUAUGAAGACUUCAAGGGAUUCCGAGUUUCUCAAUUAUUAAUGUAAUUCCGAGUUUGUGUCUUUGUUAAUUCCGUAUUUGUGUUUUAUGUAAUA